AACGAACGCUGGCGGCGUGCCUAACACAUGCAAGUCGCGCGCGAAAGUCUUCGGAUGAGUAGAGCGGCGCACGGGUGAGUAACACGUGGGUAAUCUGCCCUUAGGUCUGGAAUAACUCGGCGAAAGCCGUGCUAAUACCGGAUAAUACCAAUUCUCGAAAGUGAGUUGGGAAAAGCGGAGGCCUCCUUCGGGAGCUUCGUGCCAAAGGAUGAGCCCGCGGCCCAUCAGCUAGUUGGCGGGGUAAUGGCCCACCAAGGCUAAGACGGGUAGCUGGUCUGAGAGGAUGAUCAGCCACACUGGAACUGAGACACGGUCCAGACUCCUACGGGAGGCAGCAGUGGGGAAUCUUGCGCAAUGGGCGAAAGCCUGACGCAGCAACGCCGCGUGUGUGAUGAAGGUCUUCGGAUCGUAAAGCACUGUCGGCAGGAACGAAGGUUUGCUGGGUUAAUACACCAGUAGAUUGACGGUACCUGCAAAGGAAGCACCGGCUAACU
Molecule: ribosomal RNA, 494 nt
Filed under: uncultured bacterium
Lineage: Bacteria
Description: bacterial SSU rRNA
Rfam family: Bacterial small subunit ribosomal RNA
Source: RNAcentral